CGUACACUCCUACGGGAGGCAGCAGUAGAGAAUCUUCGGCAAUGGGGGCAACCCUGACCGAGCAACGCCGCGUGAGUGAAGAAGGUUUUCGGAUCGUAAAGCUCUGUUGUAAGUCAAGAACGAGUGUGAGAGUGGAAAGUUCACACUGUGACGGUAGCUUACCAGAAAGGGACGGCUAACUACGUGCCAGCAGCCGCGGUAAUACGUAGGUCCCGAGCGUUGUCCGGAUUUAUUGGGCGUAAAGCGAGCGCAGGCGGUUUGAUAAGUCUGAAGUUAAAGGCUGUGGCUCAACCAUAGUUCGCUUUGGAAACUGUCAAACUUGAGUGCAGAAGUGGAGAGUGGAAUUCCAUGUGUAGCGGUGAAAUGCGUAGAUAUAUGGAGGAACACCGGUGGCGAAAGCGGCUCUCUGGUCUGUAACUGACGCUGAGGCUCGAAAGCGUGGGGAGCGAACAGGAUUAGAUACCCUAGUAGUCCCAUGAU
This 480-nucleotide ribosomal RNA is filed under the name uncultured organism. RNAcentral describes it as "partial 16S ribosomal RNA". It matches the Rfam family "Bacterial small subunit ribosomal RNA", at positions 330 to 801 of the family's 1533-position model. The record is from RNAcentral.